Molecule: ribosomal RNA, 514 nt
Filed under: Haloferax sp. S2CR25
Lineage: Archaea; Methanobacteriati; Methanobacteriota; Halobacteria; Halobacteriales; Haloferacaceae
Also listed under: 1 other name
Description: partial 23S ribosomal RNA
Rfam family: Archaeal large subunit ribosomal RNA
Source: RNAcentral
GAACCCCCGGAGGCAUAGGGAAACCGAUACGGCCGCAGUCUUUGACCAGGGCCACCGUCUUCAAGGGCGGGGAGCCAACCGGAUGCGACCCGAAACCAAGUGAUCUACGCCGGAGCAGGGCGAAGCGUGGCGAAAGCUGCGUGGAGGCCCGUUAGAGUUGGUGUCCUACAAUACCCUCUCGUGACUCUGGUGUAGGGGUGAAAGGCCCAUCGAACUUGGCAACAGCUGGUUCCAACCGAAACAUGUCGAAGCAUGACCUCUGAUGAGAUAGUUCGUGAGGUAGAGCGACCGAUUGGGAAUCCGGACUCCGAGAGGAGUUCGCUUCCCUGUCAAACUCCGAACUUACGAACGUCGUAGACUCAGGGAGUCCGGUGUGCGGGGUAAGCUUGUGCACCGUGAGGGAGACAACCCAGAGCCAGGUUAAGGACCCAAAGUGUGGAUUAAGUGUGAUUGAAGAUUGUCUCGAGCCCUAAACAGCCGGGAGGUGAGCUUAGAAGCAGCUACCCUCUAAGAA